This 465-nucleotide ribosomal RNA is filed under the name uncultured bacterium. Its description in RNAcentral is "partial 16S ribosomal RNA". It matches the Rfam family "Bacterial small subunit ribosomal RNA", at positions 28 to 507 of the family's 1533-position model. The record is from RNAcentral.
GACGAACGCUGGCGGCGUGCUUAACACAUGCAAGUCGAACGGAAAGGCCCUGCUUGCAGGGUACUCGAGUGGCGAACGGGUGAGUAAGACGUGGGUGAUCUGCCCUGCACUUCGGGAUAAGCCAGGGAAAGUGGGUCGAAUAACGGACAGGAGCCAUUUUUAGUGUGAUGGUUGGAAAGUUAUGUCGGUGUAGGAUGAGCUCGCGGCCUAGCAGCUUGCUGGUGGGGUAAUGGCGUACCAAGCCGGCGGCGUGUAGCCGCACUGAGAGGGUGGACGGCCACCUUGAGACUGAGAUGAGGCACCGGCACCUACUCUUCGGCGAUGUGCGGAAUCCUGCCCGAUGGGCGCCGGCCUGAUGCUGCGGCUCUGCGUGUCGUAUGACGCUCUUAUGGUUGUAGACUCCAUUCGCUAGGGACGAAGCUUUUUGUGACGGUACCUAGACAAGAAGCCCCGGCUAACUACGUG